Molecule: ribosomal RNA, 405 nt
Filed under: uncultured Lactococcus sp.
Lineage: Bacteria; Bacillati; Bacillota; Bacilli; Lactobacillales; Streptococcaceae
Description: bacterial SSU rRNA
Rfam family: Bacterial small subunit ribosomal RNA
Source: RNAcentral
AGGUCUUGACAUACUCGUGCUAUUCCUAGAGAUAGGAAGUUCCUUCGGGACACGGGAUACAGGUGGUGCAUGGUUGUCGUCAGCUCGUGUCGUGAGAUGUUGGGUUAAGUCCCGCAACGAGCGCAACCCCUAUUGUUAGUUGCCAUCAUUAAGUUGGGCACUCUAACGAGACUGCCGGUGAUAAACCGGAGGAAGGUGGGGAUGACGUCAAAUCAUCAUGCCCCUUAUGACCUGGGCUACACACGUGCUACAAUGGAUGGUACAACGAGUCGCGAGACAGUGAUGUUUAGCUAAUCUCUUAAAACCAUUCUCAGUUCGGAUUGUAGGCUGCAACUCGCCUACAUGAAGUCGGAAUCGCUAGUAAUCGCGGAUCAGCACGCCGCGGUGAAUACGUUCCCGGGCCUU